Molecule: ribosomal RNA, 736 nt
Filed under: uncultured Planctomycetota bacterium
Lineage: Bacteria; Pseudomonadati; Planctomycetota
Description: bacterial SSU rRNA
Rfam family: Bacterial small subunit ribosomal RNA
Source: RNAcentral
AUGCAAGUCGAACGAGUCUCUGGGGGGUAACUCCUAGAGGAAAGUGGCGAAAGGGGCAGUAAUGUAUGGGUAACCUACCUUGAGGUCUGGGAUAGCCAUUCUAACGGAUGGGUAAUACUGGACGGCCUGAAUUGUCGGCAUCGAUGAUUUAGUAAAGGUUACGCCUCGAGAGGGGCCCAUAUGAUAUUAGCUAGUUGGUGAGGUAAUGGCUCACCAAGGCAAAGAUGUCUAGCGGGUGUGAGAGCACGACCCGCGUCACUGGCACUGAGACACUGGCCAGACCCCUACGGGAGGCUGCAGUCGAGGAUCUUCGGCAAUGGACGAAAGUCUGACCGAGCAACGCCGCGUGUGCGAUGAAGGCCUUCGGGUUGUAAAGCACUGUCGAGGGGAAACAAGCCGUAAGGUUGAGUGACCCCUGGAGGAAGCACGGGCUAAGUUCGUGCCAGCAGCCGCGGUAAGACGAACCGUGCAAACGUUAUUCGGAAUCACUGGGCUUAAAGGGCGCGUAGGCGGGUAAUCAAGUCAAUGGUGAAAUCCUCCAGCUUAACUGGAGAAGUGCCUUUGAUACUGGUUGUCUAGAGGGAGGUAGGGGCAUGUGGAACUUCAGGUGGAGCGGUGAAAUGCGUAGAUAUCUGAAGGAACGCCAGUGGCGAAAGCGAUGUGCUGGACCUCUUCUGACGCUGAGGCGCGAAAGCUAGGGGAUCAAACGGGAUUAGAUACCCCGGUAGUCCUAGCC